AUGGCAUUUUUGUUGCAGUUGACCUUACUUUCCUCAGUCCUUGCAGGUGUGCGGUCAGAGGUGCAACUGGUCGAGUCUGGAGGGGAUGUCAAACGGCCGGGAGAGUCCCUGCGCCUCUCCUGUCAGGCCUCCGGCUUCACCUUCAGCAGCUACGCGAUGAACUGGGUGCGACAAGCGCCUGGAAAGGGCCUAGAAUGGGUAGCCUUUAUCCAUACACAGUCCACUUCCAUUUACUACGCGGACGCCGUGAAGGGCCGCUUCACCAUCUCCCGAGACGACUCCAACAGCCAGCUGCAUUUGCAAAUGAGCAGCCUCAAGCCAGAGGGCUCCGCAAUGUAUUACUGUGCAGGAGACACAGUGGGAGGAAGAGAACGUGCAGCCUGGCAAAAAGCCCCUUCACUCAUUGCAAUGCUCCUUGUUCAUCAGUGA
Molecule: non-coding RNA, 429 nt
Organism: Varanus komodoensis (Komodo dragon)
Lineage: Eukaryota; Metazoa; Chordata; Lepidosauria; Squamata; Varanidae
Source: the annotation of a RefSeq genome assembly